Molecule: ribosomal RNA, 497 nt
Filed under: uncultured bacterium
Lineage: Bacteria
Description: partial 16S ribosomal RNA
Rfam family: Bacterial small subunit ribosomal RNA
Source: RNAcentral
GAUGAACGCUGGCGGCGUGCCUAAUACAUGCAAGUCGAGCGAACAGAUGAGGAGCUUGCUCCUCUGACGUUAGCGGCGGACGGGUGAGUAACACGUGGAUAACCUACCUAUAAGACUGGGAUAACUUCGGGAAACCGGAGCUAAUACCGUAUAAUAUAUUGAACCGCAUGGUUCAAUAGUGAAAGACGGUUUUGCUGUCACUUAUAGAUGGAUCCGCGCCGCAUUAGCUAGUUGGUAAGGUAACGGCUUACCAAGGCAACGAUGCGUAGCCAACCUGAGAGGGUGAUCGGCCACACUGGAACUGAGACACGGUCCAGACUCCUACGGGAGGCAGCAGAAGGGAAUCGUCCGCAAUGGGCGAAAGCCUGACGGAGCAACGCCGAGUGAGUGAUGAAGGUCUUCGGAUCGUAAAACUCUGUUAUUAGGGAAGAACAAAUGUGUAAGUAACUAUGCACGUCUUGACGGUACCUAAUCAGAAAGCCACGGCUAACUACGUG